GCCCGGCUAGCUCAGUCAGUAGAGCAUGAGACUCUUUAAUCUCAGGGUCGUGGGUUUGUGCCCCACGUUGGGCG
This 74-nucleotide transfer RNA is filed under the name Erinaceus europaeus (western European hedgehog). Its description in RNAcentral is "tRNA-Und (NNN) (tRNA-Und-NNN-1-1)". It matches the Rfam family "tRNA". Rfam says of the family: Transfer RNA (tRNA) molecules are approximately 80 nucleotides in length. The record is from Rfam by way of RNAcentral. Lineage: Eukaryota; Metazoa; Chordata; Mammalia; Eulipotyphla; Erinaceidae.